UGUAGCAUGUAGUUUUCAUGCUCCAAAGUGUGCUUCCUGAUGUUAAAUUCCAGACUUGUGUUAAUUUCACUAAGUCUGAAACCUGUUGUCAUUUGCACUUUUGCCAUGCUUGUUUGAACCUCUUAAUGGAUGAAUUAGCCGUAGCUCAGUGUUCAUAUUUUGUCAAGCAUCAUGAUUAGAUCCCUUCCAUGUAUUUUGUUGUCAUGUUUGAGUGCUUUAGCAUAUUUAUCUUGAUGCAUUUAGAUGACUAUUUGCUGAUUAUCGCAGACCGGUGCCAUAUUUGUUUUGCUUGCCAUUUCCAAACCGUGCAUCCGAGUCCGGUGAUCUUUAUAUCGAUUUCAACCGAAAUCACCUCACCUUUCUAGUGGCACUCUUGGAUUUCCAAGUUGUGGCCAGGUUCAAUCAUUCCUUGUUAAAUCUUGCAUAUGCAUCACAUAUCGCAUCCCGCAUAGCAUACCAUGUUCGCAUCAUGUUGUUUGAGCAUUGCACGUGGUUGAUUGUGUUCCUUUUGCUUGUUUGUAUUGUUUGGGUAGAGCCGGGAGACGAGUUCGAGAACGAGGAGCCCGUUGAGUUUGCUUACGAGGAUCAAGUCAACUCUGACAACUUUGCAGGCAAGAUGAUCACACCCUCGAAAUCACUUCUAUCUUUGCUUGCUAGAUGCUCGCUCUUUUGCUAUGCCUAUGCUACGAUGCCUACCACUUGCUUAUCAUGCCUCCCAAUUGCCAUGUCAAACCUCUAACCCACCAUGUCCUAGCAAACCGUUGAUUUGCUAUGUUACCGCUUUGCUCAGCCCCUCUUAUAGCGUUGCUAGUUGCAGGUGAAGAUUGGAGAUCGUUCCUUAUUGGAACAUUGUUUAUUGUUGGGAUAUCACCAUAUUAUCUUGUUUAUCUUAAUGCACCUAUAUACUUGGUAAAGGGUGGAAGGCUCGGCCUUUUGCCUAGUGUUUUGUUCCACUCUUGCCACCCUAGUUUCCGUCAUAUCGGUGUUAUGUUCCCGGAUUUUGCGUUCCUUACGCGGUUGGGUUAUAAUGGGAACCCCUUGACAGUUCACCUUGAAUAAAACUCUUCCAGCAAUGCCCAACCUGUCAGUGCUCCUCUGAGUGUUGGUCCAACCUGUCAGCUGUCGGUGGCCGCCAGGGGCAACUCUGGGCUGGCCUACCGGAACCUUGGACAAUCCGGUGUGCCCUGAGAACGAGAUAUGUGCAGCUUCUAUCGGGAUUUGUCGGCACAUUCGGGCGGUGUUGCUAGUUUAGUUUUACCAUUGUCGAGAAUGUCUUGUAACCGGGAUUCCGAGCCUGAUCGGGUUUUCCCGCUAGAAGGAAUAUCCUUCGUUGACCGUGAGAGCUUGUGAUGGGCUAAGUUGGGACACCCCUGCAAGGUUUUGAACUUUCAAAAGCCGUGCCCGCGGUUAUGGGCAAAUGGGAAUUUGUUAAUGUCCGGUUGUAGAUAACAUGAAACUUAACUUAAUUAAAAUGAAUCAACCGCGUGUGUAACCGUGAUGGUCUCUUCUCGGCGGAGUCCGGGAAGUGAACACGGUGUUGGAGUAAUGCUUGAGUAGGUUGUUCUAGGAUCACUUCUUGAUCAUAGUUGUUCGACCGUGCUUUUGCCUUUUCUUCUCGCUCUCUUUUGCGAACAGGUUAGCCACCAUAUAUGCUAGUCGCUUGCUGCAGCUCCACAUAUUACCUUGCCUUACCUAUAAGCUUAAAUAGUCUUGAUCGCGAGGGUGCGAGAUUGCUGAGUCCCCGUGACUCACAGAUUACUUCCAAACCAGAUGCAGGGACCGAUGAUACCGUUCCAGACGAUGCGCUUGAGCUCAAGUGGGAGUUCGAUGAAGACUCUCGUCGUUACUAUGUGUCUUUCCCAGAUGAUCAGUAGAGGUGCCUAGUUGGGGCGAUCGGGGACCGUAUCGCGUGUUGGGGUUGAUCUUUUAUUUUGGUACCGUAGUCGGACCAUGAGUGUAUUGGAUGAUUGUAAUGUUAUUCAUGUAUGUGUGUGACGUGGCGAGUGUAAGCCAACUAUGUACCUUUUCCCCUAUUAUCUAUUUACAUGGGUUGUUGUGAAGAUUACCUUACUUGCGACAUUGCUUUCAAUGCGGUUAUGCCUCUAAGUCGUGCUUCGACACGUAGGAGAUAUAGCCGCAUCGAGGGCGUUACAUCUAAACAGAUAUAAGUGAAGCACUAGAGCAAAAUUAUCUAGCUCAAAAGAUAUAAGUGAAGCACAUAGAGUAUUCUAAUAAAUUCCGAUUCAUGUGUGUCUCUCCCAAAAGGUGUGUACAGCAAGGAUGAUUGUGGUAAACUAAAAAUCAAAGACUCAAAUCAUACAAGACGCUCCAAGCAAAACACAUAUCAUGUGGUGAAUAAAAAUAUAGCCUCAAGUAAAGUUACUGAUAGACGAAGAUGAAAGAGGGGAUGCCUUCCGGGGCAUCCCCAAGCUUAGGCGUUUGGUUGUCCUUGAAUUUUACCUUGGGGUUCCUUGGGCAUCCCCAAGCUUAGUCUCUUGCCACUCCUUAUUCCAAAGUCCAUCAAAUCUUUACCCAAAAACAUGAAAACUUCACAACAGAAAACUCAACAGAAAAUCUCAUGAGCUCCGUUAGUAUAAGAAAACAAACCACCACUUUAAGGUACUGUAAUGAACUCAUUCUUUAUUUAAAUUGGUGUUAAACCUACUGUAUUACAACUUAUCUAUGGUUCAUACCCCCCGAUACUAGCCAUAGAUUCAUCAAAAUAAGCAAACAACACACGAAAAACAGAAUCUGUCAAAAACAGAAUAGUCUGUAGCAAUCUGUAGGUUUCGAAUACUUAUAUGACUCCAAAAAUCUUGAUAAAUUAGGAAGUCCUAAAUAAUUAGUAUAUUGAUCUACUGCAGUUGGAAUUGGUAUUUUAUCGCUCUCUGGUAAAACAGGAAAAUUAUUCUCGUGAGCGCAAACUUUCUGUUUUUUCAGCAAGAUCAAAUAACAAUCACCCAAGAAGAUCCUAAAGGCUUUACUUGGCACAAACACUAAUUAAAACAUAAAAAACACAAUCAUAACAGAGGAUAGAUGAUUCAUUUAUUACUAAACAAGAACAAAAAGCAAGGAGCAAAAAUAAAAUUGGGUUGCCUCCCAACAAGCGCUAUCGUUUAAUGCCCCUAGCUAGGCAUAAAAACAAGAAUAGAUCUAGGUAUUGUCAUCUUUGGUAUGCAAUCAAUAAGUGGCUCUCAUAAUAGAUUCAUAAGGUAAUUUAAUUUAAUUUCUAGGAAAGUGUUCCAUGCCUUUCCUUAAUGGAAAUUGGAAUCUAAUAUUUCCUUCUUUCAUGUCAAUAAUUCCACCAAUCGUUCUAAGGAAAGGUCUACCAAGAAUAAUAAGACAUGUAGGAUUGUAAUCUAUAUCAAGAACGAUGAAAUCUACGGGCACAUAAUUUCUAUUUGCAAUAAUAAUAACAUGAUUAAUCCAUCCCAUGGGUUUCUUAAUGGUGGAAUCCGCAAGAUGCAAAUUUAAAGAACAAUCAUCAAAUUCACGGAAACCUAGCACAUCACACAAAGUUUUUGGAAUUGUGGAAACACUAGCACCCAAAUCACAUAAAGCGUAGCAUUCAUAAUCUAUAAUCUUAAUUUUAAUAGUAGGCUCCCACUCAUCAUCAAGUUUUCUAGGGAUAGAAACUUAUAGUCCAAGCUUUUCUUUAUGGGAUUGCAUUAAAGCAUCAACGAUGUGUUUGGUAAAAGCUUUAUUUUGAUCAUAAGCAUGAGGAGAAUUUAGAACGGAUUGCAACAGGUAAAUACAAUAUAUCAAAGAGCAAUUAUCAUAAUUAAAUUCCUUGAAAUCCAAAAUAGUGGGUUCAUUGCUAUGUAAAGUUUUGACCUCUUCAAUUCCACUUUUACCAAUUUUUGCAUCAAGAUCUAAAAACUCCGAAUCAUUGGGACGCCUUCUAACUAAAGUUGACUCAUCUCCAGUCCCAUCUUUAUCAAGAUUCAUAUUGGAAAACAAAGAUUUAAUAGGAGACACAUCAAUCACUUUUAGAUCUUCAUCAUUACUAUCACGAAAACUAGAAGAACAUGCUUUCGCAAAGCAAUCUUUUUUAGCACGCAUCCUAACGGUUCUUUCUUUGCACUCAUCAAUGGAAAUUCUCAUGGCUUUGAGAGACUCAUUGAUAUCAUGCUUAGGUGAAAUAGAUCUAAGUUUCAAAGAAUCAACAUCAAGAGAAAUUCUAUCCAUGUUCCUAGCCAACUCAUCAAUCUUAAGCAUUUUUUCUUCAAGCAAAGCAUUGAAAUUCUUUUGCGAAUUCAUAAAUUAUUUAACACUAGUCUCAAAAUCAGAGGGCAUCUUAUUAAAAUUUCCAUAAGAUUUGUUGUAGGAAUUGCCAUAAUUAUUAGAGGAAUUACUAGGGAACAGCCUAGAAUUAAAAUUUCCUCUAUACGCGUUGUUACCAAAAUUGUUCCUACCAACAAAAUCCACAUCCAUAGAUUCAUUAUUAUUCUCAAUCAAAGUGAACAAUGGCAUAUCAUUAGGAUCAGAAGAAACACUCUUAUUAGCAAACAACUUCAUAAGUUCAUCCAUCUUUCCACUCAAAACAUUAAUCUCUUCUACCGCAUGAACUUUUUUACUAGUAGAUCUUUUGGUGUGCCAUUGAGAAUAAUUAACCAUAAUAUUAUCUAGGAGUUUAGUAGCUUCUACUAACGUGAUUUCCAUAAAAGUGCCUCCCGCGGCCGAAUCUAAAAGAUUUCUAGAAGCAAAAUUCAAUCCAGCAUAAAAAAUAUGUAUAAUCAUCCAUAAAUUCAAACCAUGUGUAGGGCAGUUACGUAUCAUUAAUUUCAUCCUCUCCCAAGCUUGUGCAACAUGCUCAUGAUCAAGUUGCUUAAAAUUCAUAAUAUCAUUUCUAAGAGAGAUGAUCUUAGCUGGAGGAAAAUACUUAGAGAUAAAAGCAUCUUUGCACUUAUUCCAUGAAUCAAAACUAUUUUUAGGCAAAGAAGAGAACUAAGUUUUAGCACAAUCUCUAAGCGAAAACGGAAAUAGCUUCAAUUUAACAAUAUCAUUAUCCACAUCUUUGUUCUUUUGCAUAUCACAUAAAUCAACAAAGUUGUUUAGAUGGGUAGUGGCAUCUUCACUAGGAAGGCCAGAAAAUUGAUCUUUCAUGACAAGGUUCAGCAAAGCAGUAUUAAUUUCAAAAGAUACAGCAUCGGUAAGAGGAGCAAUCGGAGUGCUAAUAAAAUCAUUGUUGUUGGUAUUUGAGAAGUCACAUAAUGUAGUAUUAUCUUGAACCAUCAUGACAAACAAUCAAUCCAACAUACAAUCACACAAGAGGCAAGCGAAAGAAGGCGAACGGAAAAAGGGCGAACAGAAAAGAGGCGAAUAAAACGGCAAGGGUGAAGUGGGGGAGAGGAAAACGAGAGGCAAAUGGCGAAUAAUGUAAUGCGAGGGAUAAGAUUUGUGAUGGGUACUUGGUAUGUCUUGACUUGAGCGUAGAUCUCCCCGGCAACAGCGCCAGAAAUCCUUUUUGCUACCUCUUGAGCAUGCGUUGGUUUUCCCUUGAAGAGGAAAGGGUGAUGCAACAAAGUAGCGUAAGUAUUUCCCUCAGUUUUUGAGAACCAAGGUAUCAAUCCAGUAGGAGAUCACAUGCAAGUCGCCUAGUACCUUCACAAACAAACAAAAACCUCGCAACCAACGCGAUAAAGGGUUAUCAAUCCCUUCACGAUCACUUACGAAAGUGAGAUAUGAUAAAUAUAAUAAGAUAAAUAUUUUUGGUAUUUUUGUUGUAUAGAUUGAAAAGUAAAGAUUGCAAAAUAAAUAGUAAAUUAGAAUUGUAGAUCGGAAACUUAUAUGAUGUAAAGUAGACCCGGGGGCCAUAGGUUUCACUAGUGGCUUCUCUCAAGAUAGCAUAUAUUACGGUGGGUGAACAAAUUACUGCCGAGCAAUUGAUAGAAAAGCGCAUAGUUAUGGGAAUAUCUAGCCAUGAUCAUAAACAUAGGCAUCACGUCCGUAUCAAGUAGACCGAAAUGAUUCUGCAUCUACUACUAUUACUCCACACAUCGAUCGUUAUCCAUCAUGCAUCUAGAGUAUUAAGUUCAUAAGAACAAAGUAACACAUUAGGCAAGAUGACAUGAUGUAGAGGGAUAAACUCAAGCAAUAUGAUAUAAACCCCAUCUUUUUAUCCUCGAUGUCAACAAUACAAUACGUGUCGGCUCCCUUUGUGUCCUGGGAUCGAGCACUGCAAGAUUGAACCCAAAGCUAAGCACUUCUUCCAUUGCAAGAAAGAUCAAUCUAGUAGGCCAAACUAAACCAAAAAUUCGAAGAUACUUGCAAAGAUAUCAAAUCAUGCAUAUAAGAAUUCAGAGAAGAAUCAAAUAUUGUUCUUAGAUAAUCUUGAUCAUAAACCCACAAUUCAUCAGAUCUCGGCAAACACACCGCAAAAAGAAUUACAUCGAGUCUAUGUCCAAGAACAUCGAGGAGAACUUUGUAUUGAGAACCAAAGAGAGAGAAGAAGCCAUCUAGCUAAUAACUAUGGACCCGAAGGUCUGUGGUAAACUACUCGCACAUGAUCGGAGAGGCUAUGGUUUUGAUGUAGAAGCCCUCCAUGAACGAAUCCCCCUCCGGCAGAUCACCGGAAAAGGCCCCGAGAUGGGAUCUCACAGUACAGAAGGUUGCGUCGGUGGAAAAGUGGUUUCAUGGCUCUCCUAGAUGUUUUUAGGGUAUAAGAGUAUAUAUAGGCGAAAGAAGUAGGUCGGUGGAGCUAUGAGGGGCCCACGAGGAUGGGGGCGCGCCUACCCCCUGGGCGCGCCGCCCUACCUCGUGGCCGCCUCGUUGCUUCCUUGACCUCCACUCCAAGUCUCCUAGAUUGCAUUUGUUCCAAAAAAGAUCCUCACGAAGGUUUCGUUUCCGUUUGGAUUCCGUUUGAUAUUCCUUUUCUGCGAGACACUGAAAUAGGCAAAAAAAAUAGCAACUGGCACUGGGCCUCCGGUUAAUAGGUUAGUCCCUAAAAUAAUAUAAAAGUGCAUAUUAAAGCCUAUUAAAUAUCCAAAACAUAUAAUAUAAUAGCAUGGAACAAUCAAAAAUUAUAGAUAUGUUGGAGACGCAUCACCAAUCUAUCAUUUUACCGAGAGGGAUUGACAACCCCUCUUACGCGUCCCGUUGAAAGUAUUUGUUCUUUGUGUGCAGGUACCGUUUACGUAGUGUUGCUUGGUUCUCCUACUGGUUCGAUAACGUUGGUUUCAUCACUGAGGGGAAUACCUACCAUAGUUGUAUUGUGUCAUCCCUUCCUCUUCGGGGAAAUACUGACGCGGACACGGGCCAUCACGGUGGCGGAAAAAGUAUUUCAUGGACUCUGUGGUAGGUUUUGGUAUUUUAGAGUAUUUAUAUAGGCGGAGGUAGGUCAAAAGGGGGCUCGUGGGCCCCACUACCCACCAGGGCGCGCUAGAGGCCCAUGGCGCACCCUGGUGCUUAGUGGCCCACUUCUCCGUCUUUUGGUGACCUCCCGAAGGUUCCAGGUUCCUUUAUUGCGAGAAAAAAUCUCCAAAAAGUUUUGUGGCAUUUGGACUUCGUUUGGUACUGAUAUUCUACAAAGUCAAAAACAAGAAAAAAUCGGAAACUGGCACUAGGCACUAAGUUAAUAAGUUAGACCCAAAAAUGAUAUAAAGUUGCUUGUAAAUGUAUAUAAAACAUCCAAGAUUGAUAAUAUAAUAGCAUGGAACUAUAAAAAAUUAUAGAUACAUUGGAGACAUUGGAGACGUAUCAAGCAUCCCCAAGCUUAAUUCCUACUCAUCCUCGAGUAGGUAAAUGAUAAAAACAGAAUUUUUCAUGUGGAAUGCUACCCAACAUAGUCAUCAUAUAUUCUUUUCUUUGUAGCAUGGACAUUUGGACUUGUAUGAUUCAAAGAAAUAGUCUAUGAUUUGACAUGAAAACAUCAAUACUCAAGCGUAUCAUCAAGCAACUAUGUCUUUCACCUAGCCCAUUAUGCUCAAUCAUUGAUCCAUUCGUGAAACACACUCAAAUAUUAGCUACAUCCAAUACACAAGUAUGACAAUAGUGUUCCCUAGUUGGUGCUUUAUAAGAGAAGAUGGAGACUCAACAUAAAAAUAAAAAUUGCAUAAAAGUAAAUAUAUAGGCCCUUCGCAGAGGGAAGCAGAGAUUUGUAGAGGUGCUAGAUCUCAUAGCUUAAAUUGAGAGACAAAAUUUGUUUUGAGAGGCAUGCUUUUCCCGUCAACGAAAAUGACCGAGAAUUCGCAAUAUCUUCCAUGCUAGAAAAAUUAUAGGUGGUUCGCAAACAAAACUUAAAGUUUAUUUUCUUUCCACCAUUCUUUCACAAUUCAUGGCUAGUUGUAUCCAGGGGUGCUUUCCAUACCAUCACUUUCCAAUGAAUUUAUUAUCAUAGUAUUUCUUUCAUUUCAUGACCGGACAUCCCUAUUACUUGCCACACUCUCGUGCAAUGACAAGUGAAUAAACAUUCAUCGUGAGAAUAAAAUACCUGGCAUGGAAAAUAUUGGCCACCCCCUGCCGCUUCAUGAGCGGUACAGGCACAUGAAAAGGAAAUUCAUUUUGAAAAUUAGAGUUGGCACAUAGAAAUUUACUUGAAUGGCAUGGAAAUACCGCAUAUGGGAAGAUAUGGUGGACUCAUUUGGCACAACUUUGGUUUUAAGGAAUUGGAUGCACAAGCAGUAUUCCUGCUUAGUACAAGUGAAUGCUAGCAAAUAGAUUGAGAAGCAACCAACCGAAAAACGAAAACGGUCAUAAACGAGCAUUGAACAUAAUUAACACUGAAUAAUGCACCACAAGUAGGAUAUAAUUUCAUCGCAUAACUAUUGAAUUUACGUGCAUGCAUAGGGAAUCACAAACAUUAACACCAAUAUUCUUACUGAAGCAUAAUUACUCACCAACGUGACUCACAUAUCACAAAACUAUUGCAAGGGAUAAAGUUUAUAAUAUGCAAUGAUCUUCAUGAAAGUUUUUAUUAUAUCCCCUUUGGAUAUAUAUCACUUUGGGACCAAAUUCAUAUCUCAUGCAAAUUACCAUUACUAUUCUUAACUCUCAAAAAGAUCUAAGUGAAGCAGAGAGCAUAAAAUAUUUCUUCAAAAAAAUUCAACUCUCAAAAUAAUAUAAGUGAAGCAUGAGAGCAUAUUUCUUUAAAAUUUACCAACUCUCAAAAUAAUAUAAGUGAAGCAAGAGAGUUUAUUUCUUUAAAAUAUAACCGCCGCCGUGAUCAAAAAGAUUUAAGUGAAGUACCAGAGCAACUGCCUAGCUCAAAAGAUGUAAGUGAAGCACAUAGAUUAUUCUAGCAAAUCAUGAUAUUUGUGUGGCUCUCUCAAACAAGUGUGUUCAGCAAGGAUGAUUGUGACAAACUAAAAAGAAAACAAGGAAAACACUCAUAUAAUACAAGAUGCUCCAAGAAAAACUCAUGAUAUGUGGCGAAUAAAAAUAUAUCUCCAAUUAAAAUUAUCGAUGGUCGUUAGAAGAAAGAGGGGAUGCCUUCCGGGGCAUCCCCAGGCUUAGUUGCUUGGGAGUCCUUGAACAUUACCAUGGGGUGCCUCACGCAUCCCCAAGAUUAGGCUCUUGCCACUCCUUAUUCCUUCAUCCAUCGUGAUCUCGCGCAAAACUUGAAAACUUCAAUCACACAAAACUUAACAAAACCUCGUGAGGUCUAUUUGUAUAAUAAAGCAAAUCACCACUUUAAGUACUAUUUCAAACCCAUUCAUAUUUUGUUAUUGCAUUGUACCUACUGUAUUCUAACUUUACCAUGGCUUAUACCCCCCAUACAAUCCAUAGAUUCAUCAAAAUAAGCACACAAUGCAACGAAAACAGAAUCUGUCAAAAACAGAGCAGUGUGUGGUAAUCUGAACUUUGACCAUACUUCUGUAACUCCAAAACUUGUGAAAAAAUAUAAAACAUGGGAAAUUUGUAUAUCAAUCAUGUGUAAAAAAUUAGAAUUUUAUCACGUUCCAGCAUAGCACAUUAAUUCUGCUACUGGGCGCAAAAGUUUCUGUUAAUGCACAAAAUCAAAGCAACUAUCACCCAAAUCAUCCCAAAGGCUUUACUUGGCACAAACACUAAUUAAAACACUAAAACAAAAUCAUAAAAGUAGCAUAAUUUUGUAAAAUCAUAAAAAAUAAAAGAAAAAUAUUGGGUUAUCUCCCAACAAGCACUUUUCUUUAAAGCCUUUUAGCUAGGCUUUGAUAAUUUUAAUUAUGCUUGCAUGAAAGACAAGAAUUGAAGCACAAAGAAAGAAUCACAUAGCAUGUGAAAAUCACAUUUAAGUCUAACAUACUUCCUAUGCAUAGGCAUUUUAUAAGUAAACAAAUUAUCAAAAGAAGCAAAAAACUAGCAUAUUCAAGGAAGAAGAAUAAAACAUUGACAAUCUCAACAUGAAGAGAGGUAAUUUAGUAACAUGAAAAUUUCUACAACCAUAUUUCCCUCUCUCAUAAUAGUUACAUGUGGGAUCAUAUUCAUAGUCAACAAUAUAUCUAUCACAUAACAUAUUCUCUACAUGAUCCACAUGCAUGCAAAGUUGACACUCUUCCAAAAUAGUGGGAUUAUCAUUAUAUAAAGUCGUGACCACUUCAAGCCCACUUUUGUCAAAAAUUUCAUAGGAUUGAUCAUUCUCCAAAGUAGUGGGAUCAUUAUUACCUAAAAUUGCAACUCUUCCAAACCCACUUUCAAUAUUAUUGCAAACACUAUUAUCAAUAUCAUAUUCAUCAUGAGGCUUAAAUAAAUUUUAAAGAUCACAAGAAGAAUCACCCCAAUCAUGAUCAAUGCAAUAAUUAGUGGACAUAGCAAAAUUAGCAUCCCCAAGCUUGGGGUUUCGCGUAUUAUUAACAUGAUUGACAUUAAUAGAAUUUAUAGUAACAUCAUUGCAAUCAUGCUUUUCAUUCAAGGAGCUAUCGUCAACCACUUUAUAAAUUUCUUCUUUUAACACUUCAUCACAAUUUUCAGAUUCAUGACUUUCAAGCAAAACUUCAUAAAGAUAAUCAAGUGCACUCAACGCACUAGCAAUUGGUUCAUCAUAAUUGGAUCUUUUAAAAAUAUUAGCAAGUGGAUGAGGAUCCAUUAGCUUUUUGUUUCCUUAUUUUCAAUAAACACACAAAACAAGCAAAGCGACAAAGUAAAAUAUUUUUGUGUUUUUCCAUAAAACGUUUUAGAAGUGGGGGAGAUGAAAACGAGAGGCAAAUGGCAAAUAAUGUAAAUGUCAGGAGAUAAAAGUUCAUGCGUAGGUACUUGAUAGAUGUUGAUGAUGUCUCCCCGGCAAUAGCGCCAGAUAUUCUACAUAAUUUUCUAAUCAAAUUUCAUAUAUAUCAUGUUACAAUUCGAGUUAGGGUGUAAAAAAUUAUGGAUAUUUAAAAAAAUCAUGUUUGUACUUAAAAGUGGACUGCGGGUUAAUUACCAGAAAUUAUAGGGUGUUUUCUAUAAAAACAAAAAACAAUUCAUUUUGUCAGCUAAAGUUGACUGCAGGUUAAUUACCAGAACUCCAGGGUUUCUUUUGUAAAAACAAAAAAAUGAUUCAUUUUUUCAUAAAGAUGUACUGUGGGUUGAUUCUUGCAAAUGUAAGGGUGUUUUCUGUAAAAAUGCAUGAAGGACAGGUAGGAGCACUAAUACCUUUAUUAGGGCAUCUCCAACGUCGACUCUCAAGCCUCCCGCAACCUUCUGACCACGGAAGCCAUCCAAUGCGGUCUUGUAUCGAUCUGCGACAUGGUCCGGACGCGCUUUCUCCCGCAAACCAGAGACAAACCUGAGGGAGCUUUGCAGGAGUCCGGACCGCUGUCACACCCUCUUCUGACCGCCCUAGCCCACCCAAACCACUCCUCCCUUUCCUGUGCAUGUUCCCGCGUGGCACCAGAUGCCCGCAUUCAUGCCAUUGUAGAGCGCGUCGCUCCACAUUGAAGGCGGCUCUUCUUGAUAACCCACAAGUAUAGGGGAUCGCAAUAGUUUUUGAGGACAGAGUAUUCAAUCCAAAUUUAUUGAUUCGACACAAGGGGAGCCAAAGAAUAUUUGCAAGUAUUAACAGUUGAGUUGUCAAUUCAACCACACCUGGAGACUAAAUAUUUGCAGCAUACUGAUUAGUAGCACAAUAGUAUGGUAGUUUGAUAGUGAUACCAGUAAUAGUAACAGUAACGGUAACAGUAGUAGCGAUAGUUUUGUAGCAAUUGUGACAGUAGAGAUCAACAUGUGAAAAGCUCGUAGGCAUUAGAUCGGUGAUUAUGUUGGAUAACAUUCAUCAUGUAACAGUCAUAACCUAGGGCGACACAGAACUAGCUCCAAUUCAUCAAUGUAAUGUAGGCAUGUAUUCCGUAUAUAGUCAUACGUGCUUAUGGAAAAAAAAUUGCAUGACAUCUUUUGUCCUACCCUCCCGUGGCAGCCGGGUGCCCUACCGAGCCGGCCAGAUGCGACUGAGGAAGCUCGUUGCUCCACCUCCCUCGCCUAGCCCAAUGGAUCUAGUUGCCGCCCUAAGCCGGCGCGUGGCUCAACAAUUCGUCGCUCCAAGCCAGCUCGAGGAGGAGUGGUGAGUUGUUCCACGCCGACAUGGCCUGGAGCACGGUGUCAUGGGCAUCGUCGCUGCCAUCGAUGAUACCACGUCAUCCUGCGCCUACAACCGUGCCUCCUGUGUCUACGACUGCGCACUCCCGUGCCUGCGGCCAUGCCAUGGAAGCACAGACAAAAUCCGGGUGUCCAGAGAUAAAUGAGUCGGUGGUGAGCGUGUCUGCGUCCGCCGCCAUCAUCGAAGAGAAGUAGAACACGGGAGGCCGCCGUCGCUUUUGUAUCCCAUGAGGGCCACCGCCAAGGCAACGUUGUGCUCGGUUCUUCUUCAGCGCGGACCAGCGUCGACCCCACAUGGGCUCCACGGAAAGGGAAGCGAGUCGUCCUUUGCGUUGAAGCAUAUACCUCCGAGGGCUCCCAACAGUCCGGUGAUCGGGCUGCCAGACAUGAGGAAGACAAAGUGAUCCACUGGCGACCAUUUAGAUUAGGUAUUAAUUAUACCUCCAAAGUCGGACUAGCACCGCUUGGUUGAUGUAAAUAUAAUGAAAUUCGUCAUGUUCAUAUGAAAUCCGGUCGUGUUUGCACGAAUUUUGUCCGGUUGGUUCGAACUGUUGUAAAAAUGUAUGCGGCUAUGGUUGGAUGGCGUUCUCCCGCAUACGUGUCCGCAGACUGGUCCCCCCUAUCCGCAGACAGAUGUGGGUCCACCGUCGUGUCACGUCUUUUUGCAUAAAACACCCCACUCUUUUUUAAAAUCAACCCACAUCCCGGUUUAAGUGAUUCCAAAGAUAAUGUUUCACCGUUUGCAGAAAAAACGCUGCAUUUUCCUCAAAUAAACCCGCAGCCCAGGUUUAAGUUACUCCAGAAAAAUUGUUCGUUGUUUGCGAAAAACACCCCGACAUUUGGUUUAAUUAACCCGAAGUACAUAUCAUACGUUUUUUGAAAUAGUCGUAUCUUCUAAACCAUAACUCCAAUUUUAAUAUAUUAUAUAUGAUAUUUGAUUAAAAAAUUGUAGAAUCUCAAGAUGAUGUUAUCUUACCUGUUAACCAUUUAAAAAUGUUAUUUAGGGUGUUGCCUUAAUCAACAGUGCACGAUCCGCCUCUCUUUUGUAUGGAUGUAGAUCCGGAUUAAAGAUGAACACCUUAGUAAAAUUAGAUUGGACAUGAAAUAAAUCAUCUGUAACAACGUAUGGAUGCGUCAGCAAAACCUCGCACGGGAAAAAGGGAAGCAAAUUUCUUGUCUUAUGCGGAGAGAGAGACGCCUUAGGAUUGAUCACAUUCAAAUGUGUUAUGAUUGUGUGAGCACUGAGGCCACUGUCGGCGAAUGUAGGAGGAGGAUAAGUGGCGACACAUAUGGGAUGUCGUGUUCAAAUAAAUAACAUGGACCUACUGGGGCCUUGAGCCACAAUAAAUAACAUGGAUCUAGUGAGGUCUUGAGUCAUACUUAUUGGUUAGGGGCAUCCAUUAUUUUUUCUUUCCAUAGCAAUUGCAUGAGCUCUUUUUCUACUCUCUUCGUUUCUAAAUAUUUGUCUUUUUAGAGAUUUCAACAAGUGGCUAAAUACAGAGCAAAAUGAGUGAAUCUACACUCUAAAAUAUGUCUAUAUACAUCCGUAUGUAGUAGCAGUUAUUGGUUAGGGGCAUCUGUUAUUUUUUCUUUCCAUUGCAAUCGCAUGAGCUCAUCUAAUACAACUAUUGAAUGCGCUUUGAAUUGCACUUCUGCUCGUAACCACUACGAACCGGAAAGGAAGGAAGCAGCUUUAGAGGAGGGAUGUCGUCAAACAAAGGAUUUUUUAUAUGCUAAAGAUACCGCGGGUCGGACACAAAGUAAAAAUCCGAGCUCUUUCAGAGUGGUAUCUCACUGAUGGCUCGGGCCCCUUCGGAAGGGGGCCUUCUUCGCCUUCCAUCUAAGCUGCACAGGAAAGGCCCAAAGCCAAUCCCAGAGAAUAGUAAAGCUUCAUAGGCCGACCACUACAUAAGCCGCUCUCGAAGAAAGCUCGAAGAGCUUCCCUUCAUUCGCUUCGCGGGAGUCGCACACAACACAUAGUUGGAAGUCAGAGGGCCCGUACUACCUGCCUAACCCUUCGCUCUAAGGGACCGUAGAAUGGAAAGCGCCUUCUAAACAACUCGGCAGAAGGGAAGGGGCCUACGGUGAACACCCAUUUGCAUCCAACUGCUCUUUUUCCUGCUAGGAGUGGAAGAAGAUCCCACGUCUUGUUCUUCUAGGAGUGGAAGAAGAUCCCACGUCUUGUUCUUCUGAUGUGCACCAAGCUCCUCCUUCAUUGCGUCUUUCUUUCCACCAGCCUUUCGCCCAUUAAUGCGGUACAUGAGCUGGGUUCAGAACACUGUGAAACAGUUCGGUCCAUAUCCGGUAUGGGAGUUAAAGCAUUGAGAGGACCGGGAAGCGAUCCCCAGGGAAGGAAGCCAAUAAUGAGAGUGUCAGGGCGGAACUUCAUUAAUGAAAGGAUUUGCACUGCCUCACCAUGCCGCAGGAUUUGCACUGCCUCACCAUGCCGCAGGGACGAACUUCAAAUUUUCUACUCCCUCCGUUUUUAAAUAUUUGUCUUUUUAGAGAUUUCAACAAAUGACUACAUACGGCGCAAAAUGAGUGAAUUUACACUUUAAAAUAUAUCUAUAUAUAUAUAUAUAUAUAUCUAUAUGUGGUAGUCCAUUUAAAAUCUCAAAAAGACAAAUAUUUAGGAACGGAGGGAGUAGUAUAUAAUAAGUGGACAGAGAUAGAAAUAUUUUUUUACGUGCGGUAGUAUAUUACUGACCCACCGCCCCAACUGAAACCAACAGUCAGCCAUUGUUUCGAUGGGCCGGGAUCAAGCAGAAGCCACACGUCGAUGAUUUGGUCCAACAGCACAAGAGGAGCCACACCACAGAAACUGCCCAGCCAAGGAAGGAUUCUCUCCUCCACAGACCGCAAUCCACUUUCAACUGAUCCACAUAUCUUUCAACCGAUCCACAUAUCUUUCAACCGAUCCACAUAUCCAUACGUGAAUUCAUUGGUGUGCAAUUAAGAGCACGGCAGCACCACAAAUCACAAAAGCAGCACCAGCCAGCCAAGUGCACCUGAAUUCGUUUCAUUCUCCAUCCACACACAAACAAAAGAAAAAGGCGGCGAAAAAAAUAGAACUGUAAAUGUGAACCACAAGAAGUGGAAAGGAAGAGCACAAAGCUGAGAUCCAAUUCUGCACACGUGAAAUUAAAAGCCACAACACAAAGGGCCAAACCACAUGAAGCAAUGAAUGGCUGCACAUGACAAGGUUUUAAGCCAGUAAUGGCCCCCUCUUUCCUGCUAAGAAAGCAGGCCAGGCCACCGCAUGUUCUCCAGGUACAUGAUCAUGUUCCUGCCUUGAUCGUGCAUUCAGUGAACUGGAGCACCAACGUGCCAUGUUUGCGCAAGUACUGGGAAGGUAAAAAAUACUGGGGGCCAACAUUAGAAACAGGAAUCAUGAAUCAAAUUGGCAGCCCAAAAGAUUACACAUCGCAGAAGUGAAUGUACAUAAGGAAAUGAUUAUGGGACUCGCACGGAAAACUCUUACAAANNNNNNNNNNNNNNNNNNNNNNNNNNNNNNNNNNNNNNNNNNNNNNNNNNNNNNNNNNNNNNNNNNNNNNNNNNNNNNNNNNNNNNNNNNNNNNNNNNNNNNNNNNNNNNNNNNNNNNNNNNNNNNNNNNNNNNNNNNNNNNNNNNNNNNNNNNNNNNNNNNNNNNNNNNNNNNNNNNNNNNNNNNNNNNNNNNNNNNNNNNNNNNNNNNNNNNNNNNNNNNNNNNNNNNNNNNNNNNNNNNNNNNNNNNNNNNNNNNNNNNNNNNNNNNNNNNNNNNNNNNNNNNNNNNNNNNNNNNNNNNNNNNNNNNNNNNNNNNNNNNNNNNNNNNAUAAAAACCCGGAACAUGCGGCAUAUGAUUCAGCACCGGUCAAAUAUAGCAGCCCACUGAACAUAUUACGAGUCUACAAGGUACACAAUUUUGACCCAACAAAUUAAUCCGGCAAUACAGUCAACAGAAUCCCAGCAAUCUCAAACAUAGUAGCUUACACGGCAAGGACUUGAGAAAAGAACAGCCAGAAUAGAUUCAGAAGACCCAGACAACUCGCAACUUAGAAGCACUUCCGGUGGACAAUCGCUGGACCUGACUCGUCAUACUCGCCCUUCGAGAUCCACAUCUGUAGCAUAAAAAUCAGAACACAUGGUUAGUACAGCAAAUAGGGAGUGUAUUUACUGUAACUACUGCAAUGAUAUUAGGAUGUAUGAUCGCUAUUUAAGCGAAAGAAAGGCGCAAGAUUCACCUGUUGGAAGGUACUAAGGGAGGCAAGAAUCGACCCUCCAAUCCAGACACUGUACUUCCUCUCAGGCGGUGCCACCACCUUGAUCUUCAUGCUGCUUGGUGCAAGGGCAGUGAUCUCCUUGC
RNAcentral lists this long non-coding RNA (16834 nucleotides) under Triticum aestivum (bread wheat). Its description in RNAcentral is "long non-coding RNA (TAES_LNC005470)". The record is from RNAcentral. Lineage: Eukaryota; Viridiplantae; Streptophyta; Magnoliopsida; Poales; Poaceae.